Daktulosphaira vitifoliae (grape phylloxera) is the source of this 118-nucleotide small nuclear RNA. RefSeq annotates it as U5 spliceosomal RNA. Lineage: Eukaryota; Metazoa; Arthropoda; Insecta; Hemiptera; Phylloxeridae. The transcript has a single exon. The record is from RefSeq and is a predicted model, not a curated record.
UGUCUCCGUUUUCCUCUCAAUACACAUAAAUCUUUCGCCAUUUACUAAAGAUUUCCGUGGUGGAGAGCAUUCAUAAGAGUCUAGAAAUUUAAUCUUUCAAUAUACAUAUAUUUAUAAU